Molecule: non-coding RNA, 1636 nt
Organism: Prunus avium (sweet cherry)
Lineage: Eukaryota; Viridiplantae; Streptophyta; Magnoliopsida; Rosales; Rosaceae
Source: RefSeq, a predicted model, not a curated record
CUCAGCAGAAAAUAACAAAAGCAUUUCUCUUUUAACUCGUUUCGUUUCCAAAACACAAAACCAGUCGUAUACAUUUUAGUCUGAAAAAUCCCAGCUUUCCGAUUUUCCGACACCUUUUCCAGCUGCAAAGUCCUCUGAGAAACAGCAAAAAUGUGUGGAGGUGCUAUAAUAUCCGAUUUCAUAGCGCCGACUCGGUCGCGGCUCACCGCCGACUACCUCUGGCCCGAUCUCAAAAAAUCCAGUUCGGGAAAGCGGUUCUCGAAGCCACUCAGGCCCGAAAUCGUUGACUUAGACGACGACUUCGAGGCUGAUUUCCAGGAAUUCAAGGACGAGUCUGAUGUGGACGAAGAUGAUGACAUGGUUGAGGCCAAGCCCUCUGCUUUCUCUGCUGGAAAGCCCUCUUCUGCUCGUAUUAUUGAAGGCUCUACGACUGUGAAAUCAGUGGAGUUCAAUGGGCAGGCUGAGAAAUCUGCAAAGAGAAAGAGGAAGAACCAGUACAGGGGAAUUCGCCAGCGCCCAUGGGGUAAGUGGGCUGCAGAGAUCCGAGACCCAAGAAAAGGGGUCCGGGUUUGGCUUGGAACUUUCAACACUGCGGAAGAAGCUGCAAGGGCUUAUGAUGCCGAGGCACGUAGAAUUCGUGGCAAGAAAGCCAAGGUUAAUUUUCCUGAAGAAACCCCACGAUCUUCUGCAAAGCGUUCUGUCAAGGCAAAUCCUCAGAAAAUGCUACCCAAGACAAACAUGAAUGCCAUUCAGCCUAAUCUGAACCAGAAUAUCAAUUUUGUGAAUGACCCAAAUCAGGACUACUACAAUGCUAUGGGUUUUCUGGAUGAAAAGCCGCCAACUAAUAACUUUGGGUAUAUGUCCACCUUCCCGGCCAAUGGGGAUGUUGCGCUGAAAUCCUCUACUCCAUCCGAUGCUGUCCCGCUGUAUUUCAGCUCUGAUCAGGGAAGCAAUUCUUUUGAUUGUUCUGACUUUGGCUGGGGAGAACAAGGUUCAAAGACUCCAGAAAUAUCAUCUGUUCUUUCAUCUGUUAUGGAAGAAAGUGAUGACUCACUGUUUCUGGAGGAUGCUAGCCCAACGAAGAAACUGAAGUCUAACCCAGAGGAUCUGGUGCCUGUUCAGGAUAAUGCAGGAAAGACACUGACUGAUGAGCUCUCAGCAUUUGAGAUGAAGUACUUUCAGACGCCAUAUCUUGAUGGGAGCUGGGAUGCUUCAGUGGACGUCUUCCUCAGUGCAGAUGCAACUCAGGAUGGUGGCAACUCAGUGGACCUUUGGAGCUUCGAUGACCUGGUUGGGGGAGGUUUCUGAGCGAACUUUUCCCCAUCCAUUCUAUUUUAUGUAAAUAAAGCUACAUGUUAGAUGGUUUUCUCUGGGUUUGGAGUGCAAGCUGUUGAACAUGCAUAAGGCUUGUAUGGGGAGUAUUUUAAGCCGUAGCAAUGGUCAAUGGAGAGCAUAUAGGUAUUAGGUUUACUUUCGCCUCCAAAGACUUAGAAUUUGGGUUGCUGAACUUGAUGUUUGUAUUCAUGACAUUGUGUGAGUGAGCUUAUGAUGGAUGAUACUGAAACCUGAUAAUUGUGAACUUCCGUUAAAUUUAUUUAGGUCCUACUUUUUACAAGAGGCCAUCAAAUUUUGCAUA